RNAcentral lists this ribosomal RNA (249 nucleotides) under uncultured Anaerolineae bacterium. Its description in RNAcentral is "partial 16S ribosomal RNA". It matches the Rfam family "Bacterial small subunit ribosomal RNA", at positions 355 to 620 of the family's 1533-position model. The record is from RNAcentral. Lineage: Bacteria; Bacillati; Chloroflexota; Anaerolineae.
UGAGGAAUAUUGCUCAAUGGGCGCAAGCCUGAAGCAGCAACGCCGCGUGGGUGAAGAAGGAUUUCGGUUCGUAAAACCCUUUUCUGUGUGACGAGAACGGACGGUAGCACAGGAAUAAGUGUCGGCUAACUACGUGCCAGCAGCCGCGGUAAAACGUAGGACGCAAGCAUUAUCCGGAAUUACUGGGCGUAAAGAGCGCGCAGGCGGUUGAGUAAGUCUAUUAUGAAAGCCCUGGGCUAAACUCGGGGA